This 254-nucleotide ribosomal RNA is filed under the name uncultured bacterium. Its description in RNAcentral is "partial 16S ribosomal RNA". It matches the Rfam family "Bacterial small subunit ribosomal RNA", at positions 524 to 776 of the family's 1533-position model. The record is from RNAcentral.
UACGUAGGGUGCGAGCGUUGUCCGGAUUUAUUGGGCGUAAAGGGCUCGUAGGCGGCUUGUCGCGUCGGGAGUGAAAGCCCGCUGCUUAACGGCGGGUUUGCUUUCGGUACGGGCAGGCUGGAGUACGGCAGGGGAGACUGGAAUUCCUGGUGUAGCGGUGGAAUGCGCAGAUAUCAGGAGGAACACCGGUGGCGAAGGCGGCAUCCUGGACCGGCAUUGACGCUGAGUGAGCGAAAGCCAGGGGAGCAAACGGG